RNAcentral lists this long non-coding RNA (553 nucleotides) under Equus caballus (horse). Its description in RNAcentral is "lncRNA (ENSECAG00000059087.1)". The record is from RNAcentral. Lineage: Eukaryota; Metazoa; Chordata; Mammalia; Perissodactyla; Equidae.
CUCUUCUCCUCUCCGAGCUAUUUGAAGACUCUAGGAGAGUUUAGAAUUAAAUAUUACGUUAAAUCAAGUUUGAGAUUGAAGUUUUAAAGUAGACUGGAUGUUUAGUAAUCAAAAGUGACUAAGAAGUUAUCGGGUCUGCCUGCGGAUGCCCUUGAAGGACAAGAAUGGGUGAUUUGCAGCUCAUGGUUGGUUAGAAGCAGAGUAAAACAGUUACAUCAUUAUACUGCACUGAAGCACGUGCUUCCACAGUUAAAUAACCUAAAUUACUCUUAUGAAUUAAGAGAAGAGAGUCAAAGAGCUGUAUCUUGGAAGAAACUGGCAUGUUGCACUUAAAGGACUAGAGAAGAGAAGGAUGGAGUCAUAUAGAGACUCAACGUGACGGAGGCUCGCUCCCUCCAUGCCUCUGACCAACCAGAGAAGCCAUUCACCUCUGCCAGGAGUACAAGUAUAGUUACAAAGUGCGCUAUUCACAGCUCUAACCACUGGAAGUACUUGCUUUAUCUUCUGUCCUUAAGGAAUACUCCAGUGUGAAAUUGUAACAGUCCAUCUCCAG